AUUUUUACCUGGGGGAUGAUACCAUGAUCACGAAGGUGGUUUCCCCGGGUGAGGCUUGUACUGCCCUCUGGAGUGCUGACCUCUGUGAUUUGCCAAGGUGGGAAACUCGACUGCAUCAUUUGUGGUAGUGGGGGGACUGUGUUCACGGUCUGCCCCA
This is a small nuclear RNA of Nycticebus coucang (slow loris), 157 nucleotides long. RefSeq annotates it as U1 spliceosomal RNA. Lineage: Eukaryota; Metazoa; Chordata; Mammalia; Primates; Lorisidae. The record is from RefSeq and is a predicted model, not a curated record. The transcript has a single exon.